This is a small nucleolar RNA of Alnus glutinosa, 97 nucleotides long. RefSeq annotates it as small nucleolar RNA Z43. NCBI's taxonomy places the organism in Eukaryota, Viridiplantae, Streptophyta, Magnoliopsida, Fagales, Betulaceae. The transcript has a single exon. The record is from RefSeq and is a predicted model, not a curated record.
GGACUGUGAUGAGUUGUGUGAAAGGUCUCGUUCGUCGUAAUGGCAUUUUUUUGCCUUGCCGACCAUCCUGUUAUAUCACCACCCAUAUUCUGAGUCC